UACGGAGGGGGCUAGCGUUGUUCGGAAUUACUGGGCGUAAAGCGCACGUAGGCGGCUUUGUAAGUCAGAGGUGAAAGCCUGGAGCUCAACUCCAGAACUGCCUUUGAGACUGCAUCGCUUGAAUCCAGGAGAGGUCAGUGGAAUUCCGAGUGUAGAGGUGAAAUUCGUAGAUAUUCGGAAGAACACCAGUGGCGAAGGCGGCUGACUGGACUGGUAUUGACGCUGAGGUGCGAAAGCGUGGGGAGCAAACAGG
RNAcentral lists this non-coding RNA (253 nucleotides) under uncultured bacterium. RNAcentral describes it as "partial 16S ribosomal RNA". It matches the Rfam family "Bacterial small subunit ribosomal RNA", at positions 524 to 776 of the family's 1533-position model. The record is from RNAcentral. RNAcentral also lists the same sequence under 1 other name.